ACGAAAUUUCAAUAUUGUUCCUUUAUUAAUAUUCUUGAUUUUAUUUACAAACUAUAGUAGUGACUAGUGCACUCAAAGAUAACCAUACAUAAACCAUGUGUAAAAAGAAAAUGUACACAUAGAAAUUUCAACCAAAAAAAAUCUCCUUUAUUAAUAGAAAAAAAAGCAUUCGAUCGAGAUAUUCCCGUUCUAUGUGUGCGCAAAGUUUCAACGUAGAGGACAGUACGCAAGUACGUAAUUUGAAAAUUACCCGUUAUUUUUUUUCCCCACUGGCACUGCUGUGCGCAUCGGACUUUUGCUGAUUUUCGUUCAUCAAACGUCUCCAAAUCACACCAAAAUGUCUUCCAGCAAUUAUUCUGGUGAUGAAAUUUCAUCAAGAGAUAGUGACUCCUCAUACUCCGAUGCCUCCUUAUCCCAUUUUAGUGAUUCUUCCCAAGAAAAUGAGCCCGACAAAUGUUCAAAAUAUUACUAGUCCCACUCGUAGAGAAACGAGUUUGUUGUCGAAUUACGGACCAUCGACGAGCGGAACUGGCCCCAGAAAACAGCUGAAAAGGAAUCAGAAAACACAACCUGCUAAAGCACCACGCAAGAACUUAAGAAGAAGAGCAAGCCUUCCAAGUCCGAGAGUGUGUCUGCGAGAUCAAUUGAAACUAAUCAAGCUACAAUGUACAUGUAACGUACAAUCACCAUUCGAUGCCUGUGAACAGCAUGACCAACAUCUGUAUCCUUUACAUUAGUAUUUGUUUCCAUUUUAUUAUGUAAUUCUUAUGUCUAAUCAUUGAGAUUCAUAGGCAAGUACAACAUGUAUGUGUACACAAUGAGUGCCUGCAUAUUGUGAAGAUAAAGGACCGUAAGACCAUUACUUAUGAUACAUGGUAAUGAUGGUAUACUUUGUAAAACUAUUUGAAAAUAGUAGCAUGUAAGUCUGUCAUUUUCUUGUUUAUAUAUAUCUCAAUGACAUGACAUGUCAUUGAUUUUGUAGUAAGUGUUUCUAGAUUAUGAUGAUUGUAUUAAGAUUUUGACAGUUCAAUUGAGAUUGAGAAAAUUAUGUAACAUGUCAACUGUACAAUAGAGCAUGCAUGCAUUGUUGAAAAAUCUGUUUUAUGAUUUAUUUUAUUUUGUUAUCUUUGUAAAUAACGAGAAUUUUUUUUUUACUUGUCAUGAUUUUCUUGAGGUUUGAAAAUGUUAUUACAUUAUUAAGAGCACUUUGCAAUUAAAUUGUAAUAAAAGAGACAGAAAACAACACUCUCAUGUCAAGAAUACUGCUUUAUUUGGUUACUAGUGAGGGAGAGAGCUUGUGAUUGCCUGGCAUAUCCACAUCGGCUCAGUAAUAGUCCUGAAACUCACCUGAAUACUUUAUUUGAACAAAAAUAGAAAGCUACAUUCUAGGUGGAUGAUAUUUUUUUAAGGCGGAGGCAUAUAGGAGACGCAGUCGCAUUUGUCUUGUUUUUUUUUUUUUAGAGUAUAAUCGUAGCAAACCAUGAACAACUCUAUUACUACAACAUGUACACUACAGUACUUAACCAAAGAUUGUAAAUAUCAGUUAAGUUCUUUUAUUUAUUUGCUUACAUGAACACACAUACUAUACUAAACUCAUGUCAUUGUGUUUACCUCUCGAAAAUAAAGUACAUGUAUUUUAUUUGACACGUUCCCUUUUAUUCUUUUUGUUUGUUACAGUCCACUGCCAUUAUAACGAGGUGCUCGGGACCAAGCCAAUUUCCUUGUUAAAAUGAAAUCAUGUUAUACUCAAGUUACUGAACACAUUGGUUUGUUUAAAAUUGGGACUGAUGAGAAUUGCCUGAUAAUAAAAUCUUGGUGUAUCCAUGUUCGUUAUAAUAGGA
This 1841-nucleotide long non-coding RNA is filed under the name Strongylocentrotus purpuratus (purple sea urchin). Its description in RNAcentral is "uncharacterized LOC752117". The record is from RNAcentral. Lineage: Eukaryota; Metazoa; Echinodermata; Echinoidea; Camarodonta; Strongylocentrotidae.